Molecule: unclassified non-coding RNA, 247 nt
Filed under: Hevea brasiliensis (rubber tree)
Lineage: Eukaryota; Viridiplantae; Streptophyta; Magnoliopsida; Malpighiales; Euphorbiaceae
Source: RNAcentral
UGAUACUUGAAAUCGUUCUGUGACAUGAUGAUUAGGUAUAUUGCUAAUCACAUUGAAUGAAACUUGGUAGAGCGGGUGGUAUUCAUUCUGACUUUAGUUAUAUUUUAGUUUAGAUUCAGUUGCUAAAAUCCAUUCCCUUUUGUUAGUUAGGAUAUAGAAUCGCUAAUGAAUCAAAAUACACCACCUUACUUGGUUGGUCAGUAGAAUAUAUUUGCACUGUCAUCUCUACAUCAUGUCUGUCUUCGUA